UGAGGCUGAUGACGGCCAUGUGUCACCGUUGCCAUAGUAACCACCCGGGCAGGGACAAACAUCCGGAUGCGCUGCUGACAGCCGUGUCACCAUUUUCUCAUCAAAUAUGUUAUAAUAAUCACUAUCACUGGUCACCAUGGUGACCGGUAAACAAAGAGGAUGUACAGUACGAUGACAGGCUUCCCCCCCUUCACCUUUCUGACGUUAUCUCAUGGUGUUUCUGCAGUCGCAGCAAAAAACUGUUGGAUUUAUGAUAAAAUUGUUUAUAAAAUGCUUGAUAAUGAAAUACACAGUGUUAUUACCCAUCUCUACAUAAGAUAUAAUAACCAAAUAAAGUGAUUUAAUACAA
Molecule: long non-coding RNA, 349 nt
Organism: Sebastes umbrosus (honeycomb rockfish)
Lineage: Eukaryota; Metazoa; Chordata; Actinopteri; Perciformes; Sebastidae
Exons: 2
Source: RefSeq, a predicted model, not a curated record